ACACCAGACUCCUACGGGAGGCAGCAGUGGGGGAUAUUGGACAAUGGGGGAAACCCUGAUCCAGCGAUGCCGCGUGAGGGAAGAAGGUUUUCGGAUUGUAAACCUCUGUGGACAGGGACGAUAAUGACGGUACCUGUCAAGAAAGCCACGACUAACUACGUGCCAGCAGCCGCGGUAAUACGUAGGGGGCAAGCGUUAUCCGGAUUUACUGGGUGUAAAGGGAGCGCAGGCGGCUUGGCAAGUCUGAUGUGAAAGGCUGGGGCUCAACCCCAGGACUGCAUUGGAAACUGUUAGGCUGGAGUGUCGGAGAGGUAAGCGGAAUUCCUAGUGUAGCGGUGAAAUGCGUAGAUAUUAGGAGGAACACCAGUGGCGAAGGCGGCUUACUGGACGACAACUGACGCUGAGGCUCGAAAGCGUGGGGAGCAAACAGGAUUAGAUACCCCCGUA
This 447-nucleotide ribosomal RNA is filed under the name uncultured bacterium. Its description in RNAcentral is "bacterial SSU rRNA". It matches the Rfam family "Bacterial small subunit ribosomal RNA", at positions 328 to 792 of the family's 1533-position model. The record is from RNAcentral.